GCGAAAGUGGCGGAAUUGGUAGACGCACCAGACUUAGGAUCUGGCGCUCAAAAGGCGUGGGGGUUCGAGUCCCCCCUUUCGCA
This 83-nucleotide transfer RNA is filed under the name Acidobacteriota bacterium. RNAcentral's name for it is "Acidobacteria bacterium (activated sludge metagenome) tRNA-Leu". It matches the Rfam family "tRNA". Rfam says of the family: Transfer RNA (tRNA) molecules are approximately 80 nucleotides in length. The record is from RNAcentral. Lineage: Bacteria; Pseudomonadati; Acidobacteriota.